CGUUUAUACGCUAAUUCAACGUUCAGUUAUUACUCUACUCAGUACACCAAUACAUGUCACUCUGUGCCGAACACCUGCGGUCGACGAGUGUUCACAACAUUUCGUGUGGUUUUCGCCAGUUCGGAAAAUUAUUAUAUUCAAGAAUCCCCGCGGAGUUCGACUGAUUGUGAUGGGCCACGUCUACAUCAGGCUGGUAAAAAUUGUGAGGCAGAUUGUAUCGAAUCCUCGAAUGGGGAAUUUCAAGUAGACGUAAGGGGUAGUGGGAUGAAGCUUGAAAGGCAGGUGCUCGUUGGCGGAACUAGCGUUUACUCAAAUAAUGACCAAGUGGUUACAGGAAUUUGCACUGUUUGUGGAAAAACAUGUUAUAUUUCAGGCCUGGGAAAGUUGGCUCUUGCAAAUGACAC
Long non-coding RNA from Patella vulgata (common limpet), 404 nucleotides. RefSeq lists it as uncharacterized. NCBI's taxonomy places the organism in Eukaryota, Metazoa, Mollusca, Gastropoda, Patellidae. The record is from RefSeq and is a predicted model, not a curated record. The transcript has 3 exons.